Molecule: ribosomal RNA, 440 nt
Filed under: Candidatus Omnitrophota bacterium
Lineage: Bacteria; Pseudomonadati; Candidatus Omnitrophota
Description: bacterial SSU rRNA
Rfam family: Bacterial small subunit ribosomal RNA
Source: RNAcentral
GUCUUGGAGAGUUUGAUCCUGGCUCAGAGUGAACGCUGGCGGCGUGGAUUAGGCAUGCAAGUCGAGCGAUCCCGCAAGGGAUAGCGGCAGACGGGUUAGUAACACGUGAGCAACUUGCCCUUAAGACAGGAAUAGCUUCGUGAAAACGGAGGUAAUGUCUGAUAAUAUCCUCAGGUCGCAUGACCAAAGGAUUAAAGGUGGGGACCGCAAGGCCUACCACUUAAGGAUGGGCUCGCGUCCUAUCAGCUAGUUGGUGGGGUAAUGGCCCACCAAGGCUUAUGACGGGUAGCUGGUCUGAGAGGACGAUCAGCAACACUGGGACUGAGACACUGCCCAGACUCCUACGGGAGGCUGCAGUCGAGAAUAUUUAGCAAUGGACGAAAGUCUGACUAUGCGACGCCGCGUGGAGGAUGAAGGUCUUCGGAUUGUAAACUCCUUUU